Molecule: ribosomal RNA, 440 nt
Filed under: uncultured bacterium
Lineage: Bacteria
Description: partial 16S ribosomal RNA
Rfam family: Bacterial small subunit ribosomal RNA
Source: RNAcentral
CCUACGGGAGGCAGCAGUGGGGAAUCUUGCACAAUGGGGGAAACCCUGAUGCUGCGACGCCGCGUGAGUGAAGAAGUAUUUCGGUAUGUAAAGCUCUAUCAGCAGGGAAGAAAAUGACGGUACCUGACUAACAAGCGCCGGCCAACGAGGAGCCAGCAGCCGCGGCAAUACGUAGGGGGCAAGCGUAAUCCGGAUUUACGGGGAGUAAAGGGAGCGUAGGCGGCUGGGUAAGCCAGAAGUGAAAGGCCGCGGCUCAACUGGCGGACUGCUUAUGGAACUAUCUCACUAGAUUGCAGGAGGGGGAAGUGGAAUUCGUGGUGUAGCAGUGAAAUGCGUAGAUAUUGGGAGGAACACUAGUGGCGAAGGCGGCUUACUGGACUGUAACUGACGCUGAGGCACGAAGGCGUGGGGAGCAAAAGGGAUUAGAUACCCCUGUAGUC